UACCAGCACCCCGAGUGGUCUGGACGAUUAUUGGGCCUAAAGCAUCCGUAGCCGGUUCUACAAGUCUUCCGUUAAAUCCACCUGCUUAACAGAUGGGCUGCGGAGGAUACUAUGGAGCUAGGAGGCGGGAGAGGCAAGCGGUACUUAGUGGGUAGGGGUAAAAUCCGUUGAUCCAUUGAAGACCACCAGUGGCGAAGGCGGCUUGCCAGAACGCACUCGACGGUGAGGGAUGAAAGCUGGGGGAGCAAACCGG
This 253-nucleotide ribosomal RNA is filed under the name uncultured bacterium. RNAcentral's name for it is "partial 16S ribosomal RNA". It matches the Rfam family "Archaeal small subunit ribosomal RNA", at positions 474 to 727 of the family's 1478-position model. The record is from RNAcentral.